This 254-nucleotide ribosomal RNA is filed under the name uncultured bacterium. RNAcentral describes it as "partial 16S ribosomal RNA". It matches the Rfam family "Bacterial small subunit ribosomal RNA", at positions 524 to 776 of the family's 1533-position model. The record is from RNAcentral.
GACGGAGGGGGCAAGCGUUGUUCGGAAUUAUUGGGCGUAAAGGGCUCGUAGGCGGACCUGUAAGUUUGACGUGAAAUCUCCGCCGCUCACCGGGGAGGGGCCGUUGAAUACUGCAGGUCUGGAGUUCGGCAGAGGACCAUGGAAUUCCAGGUGUAGCGGUGGAAUGCGUAGAUAUCUGGAAGAACACCGGUGGCGAAGGCGGCAUCCUGGACCAAUUCUGACACUGAGGAGCGAAAGCCAGGGGAGCAAACGGG